RNAcentral lists this unclassified non-coding RNA (207 nucleotides) under Hevea brasiliensis (rubber tree). Lineage: Eukaryota; Viridiplantae; Streptophyta; Magnoliopsida; Malpighiales; Euphorbiaceae. The record is from RNAcentral.
UAAUAUGUAGUUCUUUAUUAUUAUCAUUUUGACUUGUGUAAAAUUCGUGGAUGAAUUUUCUGUGAGGGGGGAAGAAUGUAACACCCUGAAUUUUUAAAUAAUAAUUUUGUGUAGUCACUUGAGUAUUGUCUAGUUUGGCGGGCCUAGGAGGGCCGUAUGAUGUUGUUGCUAUUAUGGUCUUGAGGCCCUGUGUGUUGUGCUUUGUUG